Molecule: non-coding RNA, 30 nt
Filed under: Rattus norvegicus (Norway rat)
Lineage: Eukaryota; Metazoa; Chordata; Mammalia; Rodentia; Muridae
Source: RNAcentral
UGCCAACAAUUCUUCCUGACACCUGCCAGC